AUGGCUGGGCCGCUGCCGCCGGGUCGCCCCGCGCCCCUGCGGGCUCACGCUCCUCCGCUCGUCGCCCUCUCCGGCCGCAGCGCCGGGCCCGGCCUCAUCUGCCGCCUGCUGGCUCCGCCUCCGCCCACGGCCGGGUCGCGCUGCCGGAUCCGCUUCUGCUCGCGGCCAGGGGCCCGCGCUGGCCGGCCUCCCGUGCCGCCCACCGGACCUGCCCGCUCGGCCGGCUCCCGCACUGGACGGCUCCACUGCCGCCCUGCGCCCAUCCGCGCUAGCCGCCUGCUAUCGGCCCGCGCGCGCGACGGCUCCACCUCGAGCCCGGCCGCGUCCGGCUCCCUAGCGCCGCCCCGCACCCGGCCGGGUCCAGCUCCCUCCUCGCAGGCGUCUCCUCCGCUGGACGGCUCCACCAGCAAGCCGGCCCCGAGCCCGGCCUCCUCUCGCCCCCCCGCUGGCCUCCAGAGCACUUGCCGGCUCGCGGUCUCUUCGGCCGCCUCCCGUGGCGCCCGCGCGACCCGGCCGGCCGGCUCCCGCGCUCGCCGGUUUCCCUGGAACCCGGCCCCGUGCCGGCUCGGCCUCGCCGCCUCCAGCCGGCGACCCGGCGCUUGGCCGGCUCCGCCCUGCAUCCCGGCUGGCCGCCUCCGUCCGCCAACCCGGCGCUUGGCCGGCUCCGCCUCGCCUGCCAUCUCCACCUCGCGGGCGCUGCGUCUCCAUCGGCUCGCACCCGCGGCCCGGCCUCGCCAUCUCUGCCGGCCCCCGCGUCGAGUCCCCGCACCCGCGCCGGGUCCCCGCACCCCGUCGUCUCCGCCGGCUCCGCCCCGAGUGCUCGGCCACCAGCGCCGCGGCUGCCGCGUGCUCCUCCGCCCGCGCCGGCUGUGGCCCCGUGCUGGCCCGGCCGCCUGCCGGCUUUGGCCGGUCGCCUCCCGACCUCCUCCAGCCGCUCCUCCUCGCCCGCGCUGCUGCCGUCCGGCUACGUGCCGCGCCCGACGCCCCAGUCGGCCCUCGCUGUCCGGGUUCCCACCCGGCUGCAAAGAAAGAAAAAGAAAGGGGGAGUGGGUGUCGGCUGGAGAAAGAAAGAGAAAAGAAGCAGGAGGGUUGGACCCGACCAGAGAAAAGUCAGAAGGCCGGCUCGCCAAAAAAAAGAAGCUGUGUCCGACAACUCAAAGCCGGCUGGGAGAAAAGAGAGAAGUGGCCGGGUGCCCAGCCGGCCGUCCGAAAAGUCAGACCGGGUCCCCAGCCGGCUGA
This 1239-nucleotide ribosomal RNA is filed under the name Triticum aestivum (bread wheat). Its description in RNAcentral is "partial small subunit ribosomal RNA". The record is from RNAcentral. Lineage: Eukaryota; Viridiplantae; Streptophyta; Magnoliopsida; Poales; Poaceae.